RNAcentral lists this ribosomal RNA (434 nucleotides) under uncultured Lachnospiraceae bacterium. Its description in RNAcentral is "partial 16S ribosomal RNA". It matches the Rfam family "Bacterial small subunit ribosomal RNA", at positions 341 to 792 of the family's 1533-position model. The record is from RNAcentral. Lineage: Bacteria; Bacillati; Bacillota; Clostridia; Lachnospirales; Lachnospiraceae.
ACGGGAGGCAGCAGUGGGGGAUAUUGCACAAUGGGGGAAACCCUGAUGCAGCGACGCCGCGUGGGUGAUGAAGUAUUUCGGUAUGUAAAGCUCUAUCAGCAGGAAAGAUAAUGACGGUACCUGACUAAGAAGCACCGGCUAAAUACGUGCCAGCAGCCGCGGUAAUACGUAUGGUGCAAGCGUUAUCCGGAUUUACUGGGUGUAAAGGGAGCGCAGACGGCAUGGCAAGCCAGAUGUGAAAGGCAGGGGCUCAACUUCUGGACUGCAUUUGGAACUGUCAAGCUAGAGUAUCGGAGAGGUAAGUGGAAUUCCUAGUGUAGCGGUGAAAUGCGUAGAUAUUAGGAGGAACACCAGUGGCGAAGGCGGCUUACUGGACGAUAACUGACGUUGAGGCUCGAAAGCGUGGGGAGCAAACAGGAUUAGAUACCCUGGUA